UGUGACCUUUCCAGACAAUGGCAAAGAAGUUUAGGAAAGUGACUUGCCCAUAUAAAAGGAACUUUCCUAAACAUUUGUGAUUCAAUUUUUGCAACUUGAUAAAAACUUUUCAAGAACUCUUGCAAAGGCUCUACAAAGUAAAGGCAGAAUUAUUCCAAGAACAACAACAAUAUCUUGAGCUUUUCGUCUAGUUGUUUAGGAAUACAUUCUCU
RNAcentral lists this unclassified non-coding RNA (212 nucleotides) under Hevea brasiliensis (rubber tree). Lineage: Eukaryota; Viridiplantae; Streptophyta; Magnoliopsida; Malpighiales; Euphorbiaceae. The record is from RNAcentral.